RNAcentral lists this ribosomal RNA (495 nucleotides) under beta proteobacterium dtb97. RNAcentral's name for it is "bacterial SSU rRNA". It matches the Rfam family "Bacterial small subunit ribosomal RNA", at positions 9 to 497 of the family's 1533-position model. The record is from RNAcentral. Lineage: Bacteria; Pseudomonadati; Pseudomonadota; Betaproteobacteria.
GAGUUUGAUCCUGGCUCAGAUUGAACGCUGGCGGCAUGCCUUACACAUGCAAGUCGAACGGCAGCACGGGUGCUUGCACCUGGUGGCGAGUGGCGAACGGGUGAGUAAUACAUCGGAACAUGUCCAGUAGUGGGGGAUAGCCCGGCGAAAGCCGGAUUAAUACCGCAUACGAUCCAUGGAUGAAAGCGGGGGAUCGCAAGACCUCGCGCUAUUGGGGUGGCCGAUGGCGGAUUAGCUAGUUGGUGGGGUAAAGGCUCACCAAGGCGACGAUCCGUAGCUGGUCUGAGAGGACGACCAGCCACACUGGGACUGAGACACGGCCCAGACUCCUACGGGAGGCAGCAGUGGGGAAUUUUGGACAAUGGGGGCAACCCUGAUCCAGCAAUGCCGCGUGUGUGAAGAAGGCCUUCGGGUUGUAAAGCACUUUUGUCCGGAAAGAAAACCCUUUCGAUAAUACCGGAGGGGGAUGACGGUACCGGAAGAAUAAGCACCGGC